Molecule: non-coding RNA, 5242 nt
Organism: Gadus morhua (Atlantic cod)
Lineage: Eukaryota; Metazoa; Chordata; Actinopteri; Gadiformes; Gadidae
Source: RefSeq, a predicted model, not a curated record
GCCCUCUGCAUCCCAAUGGUUGAGUUUUCGCUGCCUUGGAAACGACGACGUAUGAGAGCAGACACCCCAGAGAUCUCUCCCCUCCUCCUCCUCCUCCUCCUCUUCACCAGCUCCUCCGUUUCUCCGGUCAAGCCGUGUGUGUGUGUGUGUGUGUGUGUGCGCGUGUGUGUGUGUGUGUGUGUGUGUGUGCCAUCUCUCUCUCUCACCGUACAUGGAAGGUUUAAUAUGAAUGGCACACCGCGGGUUUGAUAACGACGUGAUUUUAUUUUAUUAAAAGGAAGACGACGAGGAUCUGAGGUUUUUCCAACGCGAGGGACUUGCAGGUGUAGGUCAUCAUGCCGCUGGUGAAGCGCAGCAUCGAACCCCGCCACCUGUGUCGGGGGGCGGUGCCGGACCAUGUGACCAGCGAGCUGGAGUGUGUGACCAAUAGCACGCUGGCAGCAGUCAUCAAGCAGCUGGGCAGCCUCAGCCGGCACGCGGAGGACAUCUUCGGGGAGCUGUUCAACGAGGCCAACAGCUUCUACCUGAGGAUGAGCGGCCUCCAGGACCGCGUGGACCUGCUGGCCGUCAAGGUCACCCAGCUGGACUCCACCAUCGAGGAGGUCUCCCUUCAGGACAUCAACAUGAGGAAGGCGUUCAAGAGCAGUACCAUCCAGGACCAGCAGGUGGUGUCCCGCUCCUCCGUGCCCAACCCCGUGGUGGAGAUGUACCACCGCUGUGACAAGCCCCCGCCCCUCAACAUACUCAGCCCCUAUAGGGACGACAAGAAGGAGGCGCUGAAGUUCUACACUGACCCGUCGUACUUCUUCAACCUGUGGAAGGAGAAGAUGCUGCAGGCCACCGAGGACAAGAGGAAGGAGAAGAGACGCCAGAAGAGCUGCCCGGCCCACCCUGACAGACCCCUCUCCAGGCAGGCCGCUCCGAGAAGCCCCCUGUCCAUCGAACAACAGAAGCAUUCAGAGGACCCAGGGAGGGAGGUGAAGAAGGUCCGCAAGGCGCGGAACCGCCGGCAGGAGUGGAACGUCCUGGCGUACGAUAAGGAGUUCAGACCGGACGCCCGCCUCACGCCCUCCCCCUACCACGGCAUGUCCUCCGAGGGGUCCCUGUCCCCCGACAACAGGUCUCUGGCCUCGGACUCGUACCCGGCCAGCCCCUGCCACCCCCCAGCCCAGCCGGGCCCCGGGGCCCCCCACCCGGCCGACCCCCAGCUGGCCCACACCCAGUCCCUGGACCGGGGCCUCCGGCCGGCCAACCAGCCCCCGGGGGCCGGAGGGGCCGCCGGGGGGGCCGGGAGGGGCCGCCACGUGGCCUCCCUGGGCAGGUUGCCGUCGGGCCACGGGGCCCACGUGGGGGCGGACCCUACGGUCAACGGGCCCCGGCAGCAGUCCAUCAAGGACUACAGGGCCGGGCACAGCAGCCAGCCCUCCACCAUCCCCGAGUACUACAUCCCCCCGGCCCCCCCCCCCUCCCCCGCCCACCAUCCCCUCCGCCCAGACGGCCUUCGACGCCACCGCCUCCCCCCCGCCCCACCCCCCCUCCUCCUCCUCCUCCUCCUCCGCCUCCGUGGCCCCGCCCGCCAACUACUGCCCCUCCCCCCCGCCCCCCCCGCCCGCCAACUACGUCCCCUCCCCCUCCCACCCUCCCCCGGCCGCUCCCCCUCUGCCUCCCCCCGCCCCCCUCCCCCCUUCGGCCAUCGCUGCCGCCGCCGCCUACGGUUCGCCAGGCCACGCCCACUCCGGCGAAGCCCCGCCCCCUGGCCGGAAGGGCACCGCCAUCUUGGGGCUGAUGCCCAUGAGCGACGCCCGCUCAGACCUGCUGGCCGCCAUACGCAGAGGGAUCCAGCUGAGGAAGGUGCAGGAGCAGCGGGAGCAGGAGGCUAAGAGGGAGCCGGUGGGCAACGACGUGGCCACCAUCUUGUCCCGCCGCAUCGCCGUGGAGUACAGCGAGUCGGACGACGACUCGGAGCUCGACGACAACGACUGGUCCGACUAGAGCGGGCGGCCGGGGGCGAGUGAGGGAGGAGAGGCAUGGAGGAGGGAGAGAGAGGGGGAGAGAGAGAGAGAGAGAGAGAAGCGGAAUGGAGGGAGGUUGAUAGGUUACCAAAAACACAUUGGAAAAUUUGGAAUUUGUACACGUACACACACACACACACACACACACACACACACACACACACACACACACACACACACACACACACACACACACACACACACACACGGCCAAGUACACACAAGUGCACGCUCAUGCGCAUGCAAAAAAUAUAUACGAUGUCUACCGUGUCGCUGCCACUAGUAUCUCCACGGUAACCUUUGUGGUAAUUAUACCUUGCCCGGUUGCCCCUGACGACAACGGUUGUUCUAGAGUGUGAUGACUUGAGGACACACGCACACAAAUUAUAACACAUACAUGAACACACAUACACACAAACACACCAACACACGCACACAACCGUUUGUGUGAAAUUUGUAAACCUUAACAUUUAGCCGUGUUCAAUGUGCCCGCCCAUUUUCUUCCUCUAUGCGUAACUGAUAGUCGGAUAGUUGUUAGCAAUACAUACAAGCUGUGAUAGCACAAGCUAAAGCUAGCUAGCUGUACCCCUAGUCCAGUGGUACUGGACUAGGAGUCCUAAUCGUACUCUUAAUAAUUGGGACUAGUUAGCUAGCUGCGGUCUUAGCUAGCUGGGCUCCAUGCUAACUGGACGCUGGUUAGCUUAGACUCCUGUUUAGCUAGACAACUAGCUAGCGGGAACCAGGAAUAUUAGUUUACAAAGCACAGGAGAUGGCACAAGUUAAAAAAAAAUGUAGUGAUGAUGAUAAAUAAUUAUUGUGCAAUCGUAACUUAUUUGCCAAAUGUUGAGUCAGACUUGGAAAGGAAAGGCAAGGGGUAGAGAACCACUAUUCAGAGAACUGGUCACUUGAUAGUUCUAACAAAUGCGCCCUCUGAAUGCUAUACUGAUUGUGGCACAGUUUGCCAAACUCCACCCAUAUGAGAUACCCAGGUGUGGGAAAACAAACGCUCCCCAUUGAGGGACACUGGGUCGACUCCAGUCAAAGUGACAUUGUUGUGUUUUUACGAGUCAUUCGCAACUUUCUAACUAACAUUUCCGCUGGUAAUGUGUGCAGUGCAGUAUUAGUCUUGAUAGCAACGCUUAUUACACAUAACUGCCACUAAGGCGACAAUAAUCAAGGGGAGGGGUGUGAGUUCACGUCUUCAUGACAUCACGCAUGUAAAUCAGCGACCUUUAACCCUUGAAUCCGGGCCUGGGAAUAUGAAUUUACACUUUAAAUAGAAACUGAUACAGUGAUAUCUUUAAUAUCUACUAUCUAAUGAAUAUUGAUUAUAGAGUUUGGUCUGAACAUGGACGUGAGAGUUUAUGAUUGUUUGACUCUAGUCCUUAAUUUUUUAUUUAUUUGUUUAUAAUUGUGCUCGAUGUGUUUUCAGGAGAGCUUUGUCUCCUUUCUAGACGCCGGUGAUGUUGUUUAUGCGGGACAAAAAAAAAAGACCCUCACUCAUUCUACCUUGGGACUGUUUUAUAGUUUUUUUUAUUAUGUCUUUCUGGCCACAUUCACACCUUUCAGUCAGCAGGAAUAUUGUAUGAUUUUUGUUGUUUUAUUUAUAGAACUUCUAGUGGAUUUCAGUUGUUGCUGCCACUUUGCUGUGAAUUCUGGGAGUUGUGGUGCUUUGCUUCAACAUUGUAGCAUUGUGAGGUAUGUGGCCUUGCCUUUUUAUUAAGACAUUUAACAACCGAUUUUUAGAGAAGCAGUGUAAGAGCGAUUACUUGAUAGCCCGCUGGAGUUGUAUUCAUUUAUAGCAGUCUUUUUUUCUUAGCUUAAAUCGGCUUGGUAUUAAUUGUGCUGAAGUGAAAAAAGUUCAACAAAUAGCAAUUGGCAUUAUGCUUAAUAUAUAUGGUUACUCCUUGCCAAAUCAUGUUUAAAACAAUGAAUUUAAUUAAUGGCUAACGUAAGCAUAAAGCACACUUAGCUUAAUAACCGACCGGAGUUGUUCUGGUUAAAAAUACAUCUGUGUUAACCUCAAAGGUUAAUCAAAGGUGAAUACAUUACAUGUAUAGCACAAACCAUGUUUUGAUGUUGGUUUAAGCUAUUGGAAAAUAUUCCAAAAGCUAAUUUAAGCUUAUGGCUGUUAUAAUUCAGGGUUGGUUGAAAAAUUAGGGAUGGAGUUCUCUUGCCGUUCUUUUUUUCUUUUGUACAUAAAUGUAACGAGAUAGCCCUAAAAGAUUAUAGCUUCAAUCUGUGUUACUCAAUCAUGAGUUGUGGUACAAACGUUUUCAAACCUUCAAGACUCGAUUAACCCAUAUUUUCAGGAGUUUGACCUGUAGCCAAAUAUCACACAAGCUGUUACAAAUAGUUUGACGUCUCAUCUGACCGACCAACUGACUAUGGACUGCAAUUGUGACACUGGGACAACCCUAAUCAAAUCUCAGAACUAGAAUGUGAACAUUUUUAUUUUAGGGAUUGUUUUGUUGUUGUUAUUGUACUGAAACAGCCACAGAUAGCUUCCUGAAAGGUUAGCUUCUUUCUGGAACUCAAGCUUGACGGUUCCACAGUUUGAACGUAACCAUGGUGACCGCAACUGUCCAAUGAGCUCUCAUUCCGUGGGGGGAGUCAUAUAUUACAGCUAAUCCUCUCGGUUUCAACUAUAGGAAAUACCUUUUUUGGUUGUGCUAACCUAUAUUUAUGUUUAUGUCAAGGAUCAUUUAAGUUUAGGUUUGGUUUAAGUUAUAUAUGUUUUAAGGAAAAUUAAGGAAAAAAAUUAUCGAUACAAGGAAAGUUUAGGGUCUAUGAUAGUGUAAUAUGUGAUUGAGCACGGAAUGAGAACUGAAAAAAAACUCACAAAUGAUGCUGCGUGUUUAACCGAUAAAGGCAGCUGAUGGACAUCCUGGCGGUGGGGAUUAUUCGCUGUGGUUCCCAACCGGUGGGUUCUGAGCCACAGGAGGGCCGCGGAUUGAGGACCACCGGUGUAGCUAUCUGUGGUUGGAGACUUGUAAGAUUACUGAACAUUUGUGUUGCAAUUGUGUGUGUGCGUGUGUGUAUGUGUGGGGGGGAGGGUAAAAAAAAAGAACCCUGUGGUAUAGGCAUUUGGAAAGGCAUCUUGUUAGCCGGCAUACCUUGGAGGUUGUUCAAGCUAAACCACAAACAACAUUGAAACUGUGUAUGACACACUUAAACCAAUUGUAAACAAGUAUGCAUGUAUCUACUGACAAUAAACUCAAAACAAAGUA